Molecule: ribosomal RNA, 40 nt
Filed under: Alternariaster helianthi
Lineage: Eukaryota; Fungi; Ascomycota; Dothideomycetes; Pleosporales; Leptosphaeriaceae
Description: partial 28S ribosomal RNA
Source: RNAcentral
UAUUUUGCUCUUGACCUCGGAUCAGGUAGGGAUACCCACU